UCUGACAAAGGACAUUAUGUCAGUUCAUGGAAUAGUGCUUUAUCUCAAAUCAGGAAAGAUGUGAAUCUGCUCGUAGCUAAUAUGGAACUACAACUGAAGAUGGAGUGAGCUGUUUUGAUAGUGAAGCCUCAUCAGAUGAGUAUUAGCUAUGGCACUUGAAGCUCUCGCACUUGUAUGUCAAAACAAGGAGCUCUUUCUAUUCGUAAGAAGAGAAUUGGUGAGAGGACUACCUCAUCUGGAAUUCAAUAUGGAUGAAGCUCAUGAGGUAUGUCAAUAGGGAAGUCGAAGGAGCAUUGCACAGAAGCAAAGAUAUGACUAACAUUACUGAGCCGCUUCAGAUGAUACGUAUGGAUUUCUACGGAUCAGCUAAUGUCAUGUCUGCAAACAAAGCUAGAUAUCUUUUUGCGAUGAUCAUUAACUGCUCUAGAUUCUUUCGUGUUGUUCGUAUGUGUUCGAAGGACGAGACGUCACAAAUGAAGGUUGAUCAAGAUGAACCCUGAUCAUUGAUAAAUCCAGAAAGACAUCAUUUUUGCCAGUGGCCAAUCAGAAGCAAACACU
RNAcentral lists this long non-coding RNA (558 nucleotides) under Daucus carota (carrot). RNAcentral describes it as "long non-coding RNA (DCAR_LNC005584)". The record is from RNAcentral. Lineage: Eukaryota; Viridiplantae; Streptophyta; Magnoliopsida; Apiales; Apiaceae.